RNAcentral lists this ribosomal RNA (450 nucleotides) under Hedychium coronarium. RNAcentral describes it as "eukaryotic LSU rRNA". The stretch from base 339 to 450 matches the Rfam family "Eukaryotic large subunit ribosomal RNA", at positions 1 to 112 of the family's 3401-position model. Lineage: Eukaryota; Viridiplantae; Streptophyta; Magnoliopsida; Zingiberales; Zingiberaceae. The record is from RNAcentral.
UCAUGACAUGCGAUACUUGGUGUGAAUUGCAGAAUCUCGUGAACCAUUGAGUCUUUGAACGCAAGUUGUGCCCGAGGCCUUGUGGCCGAGGGCACGCCUGCUUGGGCGUCAUGGCAUCGUCGCUUUCGCUCCACGCAUUGUUGGCGGCGAGCGGAAAUUGGCCCCGUGUGUCCUCGGGCACAGUCGGUCGAAGAGUGGGUAGUCGGCAGUCGUCGGGCACGAUGGGUGUUGGUCGCCGCGAGCGGGAACAGAACGUCGUCCCCGUCGUCUCGGGAUGAGUCCUCAAGAGACCCUGUGCGAAUGCGGCGUCGGUCGAAAGUGCCGCGCCCAUCAAAUUGUGGCCCCAAGUCAGGCGAGGCCACCCGCCGAGUUUAAGCAUAUAAAUAAGCGGAGGAAGAGAAACUUACGAGGAUUCCCCUAGUAACGGCGAGUGAACCGGGAUCAGUGCCA